This 1082-nucleotide long non-coding RNA is filed under the name Vigna radiata. RNAcentral describes it as "long non-coding RNA (VRAD_LNC008332)". Lineage: Eukaryota; Viridiplantae; Streptophyta; Magnoliopsida; Fabales; Fabaceae. The record is from RNAcentral.
GUUUCAAGUCUAGUAAAUCUUUUUUACAAUAAAUCAUUAAAUAAAUAAUUAAAUUGAACAAAAGUUACUAAUGCAAAGAAAAAUAAUCUAAAAAGAAAAGAAGAACCUGAGAGAGCAAGUGCUAAAGAGAAAAGAAAAUAAAAGAUUCAAAUAAUAAAACAAAAAGUCAUUUGUGUUUAUGAGAGAGCAUUUGUGUUGCAAAUGUAUUUUUGUGUGCUAAUGUGUCUAUAAAAUCCGAUUUAUACCGUUACAAAGUAGCAUUUCAUGCCUUUUGAAAAUAGACCAAUUCUCACACCUUAUUAUUUUUUUCUUCAAUUGUUAUCUAGGUGAGAUACGUUCAUUGUCUUUCUUUUAACCUUCAUGUAACUAUUCAAAAAAAAAAAAAACUCUUUUUAGAACUUCUUUUUUAAUUUCUUUGUCAUUAGUGAAAUUAUUAACAAGUAAAAUUAAUUGAUAAUCACCAAAAUCCAUCAAUAAGUCAAAAUUACCAAUGAUCCAAAAUUAGUUAAUAAAAUAUUUAUCGAUAAAUUUUAUCGACUAAUUUUAAUUAUUGACAAUAAAGAAAUAGUUAGUAAUUAUUAACAAUCAAAAUUUGAUUGGUAAAUAUUUGUAAGCAAUUGUCUUUGAAUCUUGGCUAUCGAUAAAAUUCAUUGUUAAAUAUAGCUAUUUGAUUGUUUUCUUCCUCCUUCUUUUUUAUUUCUUUUCUUCUUCUUCCUCUACAUCUAAUGUAUAGUUGUUGUUAUUUUUGUUGUCAAAACCAUCAUCGACAUGUUUACCAUCACUGUCACUAUCGGUUCUUCCUCAUCCUUCUCUUCUUCUGCCACCUCAUCUUUCUCUUCCUGUUACUUCUCUAUUGUUGGUUGUCGUUUUACGAUUACUAUCGUCACUUCCACAAUUGUCAUCACUAUUGUUGUCAUCGUCACCUCUGCAAUUGCCUCCACCACCAUUUUCUUCUCCUUUUGCCCCUUCUCUUCCUCCUUCUUAGAUUUUCCAUUUUCACUUCUUCUUUCACUCAAUCCUAAUUAAUUUAUAACAAAUAUUUUUUAGACUUAGAAAGAAAAUUAGUGUCCAUUUUGUCGACG